GAUAUUAAUUUUAAAUAUAUUCAUUUCACUGUUUUGUUUGCUUGUAAUUGGAAAAUUUGUUUUGGUUUUAUGCUUGCAACGGAGCUACAAACAUAGGGAGUCUGCGUUUUACAUUUGGAUAUUUAAGUAACAUAAUAAAAAGGAAUUGGUAAACACUGGGAAGCUAAAUGGAGGGUUUUAGGCUGUACAUUUAGAGUGGUUUGACUAGUGUACCCCCAAAAUUAAUGUUCACCCAGAGCCCCAGAAUGAGACCUUAUUUGGAAAUAGGAUCUUUGCAGACGUAAUUUGCUGAGGAUCUCAAGAUGAAAUCAUCCUGAAUUUAAGGUUAGCAGUGAAUCCAAUGACUGGUGUCCUUACAAGAAGAGGAGAGGACACACAGACACACACAAAGAUGAAGACCACGUGAAGAUGAAGUCAGAGAUCGGAGUGUUGCAGCUACAACUCAAGGAACACUUGGAACCACUAAAAGAGAAACCCUUCUCCACAUUUGCAUUAAUGUCUUGAAUAAAGAUGUAGAGGGUAUACAAACUGAAAGAGAGAGCAACCAUAUUGGAUGACAAAAUCUGAAUCUCAAAGGAUCUUGACAGGCUAAAGCAAAGUGACAAU
Molecule: long non-coding RNA, 606 nt
Filed under: Equus caballus (horse)
Lineage: Eukaryota; Metazoa; Chordata; Mammalia; Perissodactyla; Equidae
Description: lncRNA (ENSECAG00000057903.1)
Source: RNAcentral